This is a non-coding RNA of Stomoxys calcitrans (stable fly), 46 nucleotides long. The record is from Rfam. Lineage: Eukaryota; Metazoa; Arthropoda; Insecta; Diptera; Muscidae.
AUCGAGGUUUUUCUCAAAACCACAUUUUAUAACAUGACAGUAAGAU